RNAcentral lists this ribosomal RNA (496 nucleotides) under uncultured bacterium. Its description in RNAcentral is "partial 16S ribosomal RNA". It matches the Rfam family "Bacterial small subunit ribosomal RNA", at positions 29 to 507 of the family's 1533-position model. The record is from RNAcentral.
AUGAACGCUGGCGGCGUGCCUAAUACAUGCAAGUCGAGCGAACAGACGAGGAGCUUGCUCCUCUGACGUUAGCGGCGGACGGGUGAGUAACACGUGGAUAACCUACCUAUAAGACUGGGAUAACUUCGGGAAACCGGAGCUAAUACCGGAUAAUAUAUUGAACCGCAUGGUUCAAUAGUGAAAGACGGUUUUGCUGUCACUUAUAGAUGGAUCCGCGCCGCAUUAGCUAGUUGGUAAGGUAACGGCUUACCAAGGCAACGAUGCGUAGCCGACCUGAGAGGGGGAUCGGCCACACUGGAACUGAGACACGGUCCCGACUCCUACGGGAGGCAGCAGUAGGGAAUCUUCCGCAAUGGGCGAAAACCUGACGGAGCAACGGCGCGUGGGUGAUGAAAGUCUUCGGAUCGUAAAACUCUGUUAUUAGGGAAGAACAAAUGUGUAAGUAACUAUGCACGUCUUGACGGUACCUAAUCAGAAAGCCACGGCUAACUACGUG